This is a non-coding RNA of Mycena capillaripes, 94 nucleotides long. The record is from the annotation of a GenBank genome assembly. Lineage: Eukaryota; Fungi; Basidiomycota; Agaricomycetes; Agaricales; Mycenaceae.
GCUUCUGUAGUCUAAUGGUAAGACAUCUCUCUGGUUGGAUCCAUUCGUAAGCAUCUUCAUGGAGAAAUCGAGGGUUCGAAUCCCUCCGGAAGCA